AUUGUUGUCUGUCCGCCAUGAUUGUCUGACCAAAACAACACGCUAUCUAUCUUAUCUACUGUCUCUCCGCUGAAAUCGUUUCACCUGUGUCCCUUUUUUCCUUCAUAUUCGAAGAUGCGGUAAUUUUGCCUUUAUGUUCGCACUAAAUGGAGGACAGCUAACCCGAUAUUCACAAAGUUACAACUUUAGUCAUAUUACAAACACCCUUUGUACAUACAGAGAUUUAUGACCUAAAUGCGAUACACCAUCACACCUUGGAUGCAGGAAUGUGGCUAAACAACCCACUUACUGGCAGUUAGCGUUCUGACACAGGACGCUGAUUUUAUAGUGAAGACGAACACAACCGAGGAUAUACACUAAGAAGGAACCAAACGAGCAGGACAGGAGGAGAAGGGUUCAGCAGCAGAUAAAGGAACUGAGGAAGUUCGAGAUGUACAAGUCGCACCUGUUCAAGGUUCGGAAGUACCAAUAAUCUUGUUGAUCAACGACGAGUACGGAACUUCCAAGGGGGGGAUUUCUACCAUCAACUGUCAGGUUGGUCAAACGAUAGGCGCGACUAACGCAGUCGUGUACGCGACAGCCCUGCGUGUGCCGAAACAAGACCAGGAGGCAGCAAACAGAGAUGGUGUCCAGCUGAUCAAACCCCGUCAAGCAGUAGGGGACAAGACAGAGCCAUCCUUGGACUGGCUGACCUUUCAAUAACGGACCUACUACCCGAAGGAGAACCUACCGCCACAUGUUGACGUCGUUAUUGGCCAUGCUCACGUCACAGAUACGGCGGCGCGAAACAUACUACGAACAGGCAGACCUGAUCACGAUCACCCACGUCUUACCUGAAGACACAGACUACUUCAGGGGGAGCCUGAGGGCUAUCAAAGCUUCGGAGAAAGAGAAAGAUAUGCUUGACAUCGUCGACAACGCAAAGGCAGCUUUCUCAGUGGGUCCGCGUAUCUACAAACACUUCAAGACCAAGUACAAGGGAAAGAAGAAACCAAGGGGCAGCAAGGGGCAUCAGCAUGGCCGCAAGAGAUCUGGACUCGCUCUCUGCGAUUGAUCACCCGCGGCAUCAGCGAGGACGGCUAUGAGGCAAGCCUGGAGAUCCUGAAAGCUAACAUGGGCAGCAGCAACCUGAUCCCCACCCUGCGGCCGUACGGCAUACAGGAGGACAUCUUGGAGGACAUGAUGGCAGCCCACCUGGUCCUGAUGCCUUCCCGCUCCGAGCCAUGUUUCCAUGUUUAUGGAAAUAAGGUUGUAAUUGCCAUACUCUAUUUCUAUUGAUGUCCUUUUCUCCCCAGAUAUAGAUUGCAUAUGAUGUUUGUGUGAAAAAGUUAUCCACAUUUGCGUAAUCUUUGGGUGGUGAUGUUCACCUUUAUCCAAUUUCCACAUGUAACAAGUAUGAAAUUUCCAUUAUUCGCACUAAACUUCUUUUAUCGCAUCAAUUAUGCAAAUCUGGCCAUGAAUUACAUGUUUUAUGUAUUGAAUGUCUUUUACUGAAAAUACUGGACUUAUACAAUUUACUCAUCAAUUAUGCAAAUCAAGUCCUAAUUUGCAUUUCAUGCAUGCAUCUGCCCAUGCUACCAAGCCACCUACCCACAUCAUGAAAAUCUGUUGUUCCUUUCUUCAGUUACAGUAUCCAGGACAAAAGAUAGGGGAAACGGAACUUCUGGUGCAGUACCAAGGAAAGCCGCCAGGAGGCCCAUAAUCGAGCCCUAUUAACAUACCAAAUAUCACCCUAAUUCCAUAGUCCCACUCCUGGUACUCAAGCCUCCCGCAAGUCAACCCUUGCCGAGUGAACACCAAUCAGUCUUCCCUAUCCUUAUACAUGUAAAUACUGGCAAAAAGAAGCUGUCAAAAGUCACCAACUUGAAGUUUCGUCCUUGAAAAACUAACAUUGACAGGGUAGUCCGGCCUCUAAAUUGUCCAUUUCCAACUUUUGGAAACAUUCUGACUGCUGUAACACACGUAAACUGCAGCCAAACGCACCCGGUGACCUUUGUCCCAUCUGGCAUUAGAAUGAUAGCUCCAAAACAAACUUCUUUCUAGUGUUCCAACGUUGGCCGUGUUCUCUUGUGCCGGGAAAGGGAGUUUGUCGAGGAAGGGAG
Molecule: long non-coding RNA, 2102 nt
Organism: Branchiostoma floridae (Florida lancelet)
Lineage: Eukaryota; Metazoa; Chordata; Leptocardii; Amphioxiformes; Branchiostomatidae
Exons: 3
Source: RefSeq, a predicted model, not a curated record